Non-coding RNA from Cajanus cajan (pigeon pea), 319 nucleotides. The record is from RefSeq and is a predicted model, not a curated record. NCBI's taxonomy places the organism in Eukaryota, Viridiplantae, Streptophyta, Magnoliopsida, Fabales, Fabaceae.
AUAGUUCUUUCUUGAUUUCAUUUUAGAUAUCUGGAUCGGGAUUGGUCACAGGAUGUGUAUUUGUAGCAGUUGCAUUCUAUCUUAAGAUUCGACAAAUAUUUGACUUUGUUUCCUGAAUUAAGAACGGUGGAGGGCAGGAUGCCGAGAAUCUAAGAGUCAAGCCAAACGAUGCUUCAAGUAUUCCUAAUACACCUUUGGAUGCAAGAGGAUCAUCUGGUGCUAGCAACCCUUAGUUUGCAUAUAAUGUAUUUUGGAUUUAAAGUUUAGUAUGAGGCUAAUUUGACAAUGUUAUGAAUUUUAUGUUGUACUUGAAAUUAUA